This 1168-nucleotide ribosomal RNA is filed under the name uncultured bacterium. RNAcentral's name for it is "bacterial SSU rRNA". It matches the Rfam family "Bacterial small subunit ribosomal RNA", at positions 128 to 1294 of the family's 1533-position model. The record is from RNAcentral.
GCCCAUUUGAGGGGGAUACCAGUUGGAAACGACUGUUAAUACCGCAUAGUAUCUGUGGAUUAAAGGUGGCUUUUAGGCUGUCGCAGAUGGAUGAGCCUGCGUUAGAUUAGCUAGUUGGUGGGGUAAGGGCCUACCAAGGCUACGAUCCAUAGCUGAUUUGAGAGGAUGAUCAGCCACAUUGGGACUGAGACACGGCCCAAACUCCUACGGGAGGCAGCAGUGAGGAAUAUUGGACAAUGGGGGCAACCCUGAUCCAGCAAUGCCAUGUGUGUGAAGAAGGCCUUAGGGUUGUAAAGCACUUUAGUUGGGGAAGAAAGCUUUGAGGUUAAUAGCCUUGAGGAAGGACGUUACCCAAAGAAUAAGCACCGGCUAACUCCGUGCCAGCAGCCGCGGUAAUACGGGGGGUGCAAGCGUUAAUCGGAAUUACUGGGCGUAAAGGGUCUGUAGGUGGUUUGUUAAGUCAGAUGUGAAAGCCCAGGGCUCAACCUUGGAACUGCAUUUGAUACUGGCAAACUAGAGUACGGUAGAGGAAUGGGGAAUUUCUGGUGUAGCGGUGAAAUGCGUAGAGAUCAGAAGGAACACCAAUGGCGAAGGCAACAUUCUGGACCGAUACUGACACUGAGGGACGAAAGCGUGGGGAUCAAACAGGAUUAGAUACCCUGGUAGUCCACGCUGUAAACGAUGAGUACUAGCUGUUGGAGUCGGUGUAAAGGCUCUAGUGGCGCAGCUAACGCGAUAAGUACUCCGCCUGGGGACUACGGCCGCAAGGCUAGAACUCAAAGGAAUUGACGGGGACCCGCACAAGCGGUGGAGCAUGUGGUUUAAUUCGAUGCAACGCGAAGAACCUUACCUGGUCUUGACACCCUGCGAACUUUCUAGAAAUAGAUUGGUGCCUUCGGGAACGCAGUGACAGGUGCUGCACGGCUGUCGUCAGCUCGUGUUGUGAAAUGUUGGGUUAAGUCCCGCAACGAGCGCAACCCCUAUUGAUAGUUACCAUCAUUAAGUUGGGUACUCUAUUGAGACUGCCGCUGACAAGGCGGAGGAAGGUGGGGACGACGUCAAGUCAUCAUGGCCCUUACGACCAGGGCUACACACGUGCUACAAUGGGUAUUACAAAGGGCUGCAAAGGAGCGAUCUGGAGCGAAACUCAAAAAGGUACUCUUAGUCC